CAAUUUUCAGUGAGGUUUUUGCAAAGUGUGCCUUAUCGCAAUUUGCUGGACCAACUUUUCACAAAAAUCUCUCCAAUGGUCAAACAAAUAUGGCAAAAAUCGAUUCGGGAGCCGGACAAAGGUGUGUGACAGCCAAUACUCCGAAGGGAUGUCGGGCCAAGGACAAUAGGGUGUUGACAAGUCCUUGACCGGGAAGAACAACUUGUGUCCCAACAUCACCUCCGGAAGGGUCAGGUUCCCAACACUGUUGGACACUAACCUUAUUGCUUCCUACCAGAAACGAAACUGCUUAACCAAUUGAGAACCUUACCUUGGAUCCCAGUCUCAUGGAGCCUGUUAACUAAACGACCAUGAUCUACCUUGUCAAAGGCCUUGGCAAAGUCGAGAUAAACUACAUCAACUGAUUCAUGGCUCUCUAGUCCCUCAAUAACCUGCUCAAUAUGAUCAAUCAGUUGGGUAGCCGUGCUAAAAUGUGCUCGGAACCCAUGCUGGCCAGGAGGAAGGACAUCAUGAAUGUCAAUAAAUUCAACAAGUUUGAACUUCAGGAUCUUCUCAAACACCUUCACAAUAUUCGAAGUGAGAGAAAUCGGCCUGUAGUUACUGGGGAGUGACUUAUCUCCCCCUUUGAAAAUCGGAACAACAUGAGCUAACUUUAGUGAAGAUGGAAAUUUGCCCUGAUCGAAGAUGCAAUGCAUCAAGUACGAGAAAACAGGAGCAAGAACCAGUGAGCAUCUCAUCAGAAACUGAGAUGUCACACCAUCAGGACCAAGAGAACUUGAAAGCCUCAAGUCCCUGAUUGCCUCAAAAGCAUCUUGCUCUGUGACUACAAGAUCUUCGAAACGCUCAACUUGACUAAUCUUGUCAAUCUCAACAGACUCAUCUUCCGAGCAAUGUGCUGUUGCUUCUGAACUCAGUGGGGUUGACGACACACUUUGUUUAAUUAACACAAACUAUUUCUUUGUUUUAUUUGGUCUUUAAUACUAUUUUGAAGUGCAUUACAUGGUGCUUUUGCCCGUUAACUAACUUAAACAUUAUGAGAAGCUGUGCUAGAACCGGCUUGAAAAAUUGUUGGAUUUUAAAAUCAACUACAUCCACUCAAAAUCUCUCUGUGUACUCACCCGUCGUCAUCUUGGUCAUGAGCAUCUCUGAUAGUCUUGCCAGCUUUGACAUUGUAGUUCCAUGAGAUGUAAUUGAUCCAAUGUGAAAACAUAUUAAUUAUACAAUUAACCAAUGAACUUAUGAACCACACGGACCUACUAAACUCCGUGAUUGCAAAUGGUAAUAAGAUUAACUUACAGUGCGUUGAUUAGUUUGUUGACACUCGAGGGCUAGUUGCAACAAUGAAGUCGGCCUAUAGAGGCCCUCAUGCCUAGAGAAGAAAUAUUGAUAACGCCCUUCUCGAAGACGUUCGAGCAAUGCGUUACCCCUAAGUUAGAUGAAUGCCGUCUGAGGGAGUGCUUAAUCACGGCCUCCAUGGUUUAAUCAACUUUUCCCUUCCAAUCAAAUAUCCAAUAAGAAGGCAACGCAACCCUUUGAACGUCUUCUAGAGAGGAUUCCAAAAGCUGUCCUGUCCAGUCCUGAGGGACUCCAUGGUCUGCCUUUCUUCUCAUUCCCACUACUACUCAAGAAUGCUUUUCUUUCUCCUUUUUCUUUGCCUUUAGUGCUGUGUCAAAGAAGUACCCAUCCAUUCUAAGGUGACAAUCUUUGUAACCAAAAUGUAGUUUUCAGCAUCGAAAAAAAAUUAAAAAAGCAGUCAAAUCUCAUUAACCGGGUUUGAUCCCCAACCAAGAAAAGGGUUUAAUUCAAGGAUUGAAUCUCAUUUUCAUUAUUGAAGCACAAAUAAGGAAACAUCUUGAGUAUCGAAAUUGCACCAUUUCCAUACCAAAGUCUGAUUCAAUGCUGUAUUUCCCUUUGCCCACUACCUCGGGCUUUCAUGUCCAUGCUUCACGACGUGUCUUGUUGUCUGUAAAGACACUUGUUUUGUCCCGUCCCUUGAUUAUAAAUCAGAACGUUCAAUGGUCAAAGUCACCAUUCAUCAUGAACGGACCGCUGUAUCCUGUUUUCUUUUGAUUGGAUCUACUUGGCUCACCAUUGAAACACGGGACCUAAAAGAUGUUCGUUGUUUGAGAAGCUAUGAAUGGAACAAUCGAACUUGGACAACAAUUGAGGAUGUCGUUUGUGGUGGGAAUUGCCAAAUCAAAUGUCCUGAGUUGAGCGCCGAGAUCAACUAUUUCACCUCUGACGCCUCAACUGGCCAAUGUUUGUGCAACGUUCUUUGCAACAUUGACCGAGGACUUGAAGCCCAAGGAGCCCUAACUGGAUUGGUCUCUGAUCAGGAUCCAAGUGAACUCUUCAAUUCAGGUGGGGACAGGGUCACGAACCACAAAUUGUGGUUGCUUCUCUGUCAGCUCGGGUUUGUCCCUCAGAUUUUGGCCAAUUUGAAUUCAAACACUUUGGAAUCCUCAAAGGUGUUUUUGAUAGAGUUAAAACACAAAAGGGUAUGUACUUGCAUCAAUUCGGUUAAGGCUGAAAAAAACACAUUGGCAUGGCUUGACCAAGUGCUUUGUAGCCACUAGGCUUCACUAAGAAUAAUUUGAACUCGUUCUUUCCUCCGUAUCUUAAAUAUUAUAGGUGGUAAAAGCACGUCAAGCAAAUAAGUAACAACAACCUUUUCAAUGCUAAAGAAUGUGCUGCUGCCAUUUGUGAAUAAAUCAUCUAGUGCACUUUCUUGUUUUCAUUGUAUUCAAGCUGGUCAAAUGACUAGUUUCUCGUUGCUUCCACAGCCCCCAACAAAAACAAGCCCAUUUUCAACCCGACAGGCGAAAACAGAAUGCACUCAAAAAUAGAGAUACAAUUGCUUGCCUUAUUUAAGAGCACUUGAAUUGAAAAAUGUUCCAUCACCGAAAGAGGGGGUGGAUGGCGGGUACUUUUGAUUGUCUAUGUUCAUCUCUUGGCCUCAAUCUUUUAGCUUGAACAAUCACUUUACAAUUCAGAGCCAAGUUUUUGCCCCAAAUCUCAUCCUUGGGCCAUUGCCAAGUGACAGCGCUGCUGAGAAAGGUUUCAUCGCGAGAAGGACACUCUUGAAGUAUUGGACUGGAAUGAUCAAGAGUCGCUUUGUCCUGGAGGCAACUCCAUCCCACGUCAAAGGGGAACGAAUUGCCACAAAUUCAAAGACUUCACAAGUAAGUUAGGUUCGCCUCCUCAUCUACCCAAUGACCCUAGUAAUACUAAAGAGGUUAUUCUUUCCCAAUUUGAUGGUUCAAGAGCCUGAGUAUUGUCCGAAGGAAUAUUCAUUUCAAAUUCGGAAUGCAUGAUGCAAAGUCAAAAUUAGAACUUUGAAAGGCAAGUGUGGUGGUGGCAUAAUGGGCAUUGUUGAUUGUAUGAUUGGGGGGGACAGCACAAAAAUAUCACAACAGGUUUCGUGGGAAUGACUAGAUUUGUUCCAAACAACUGACUAGAUAAACAUGCAAAUAAAAUAGAUAAUGUAUAGAUGACUAUAGUAGAUUGAUUUGGUGACUUGGAGGAUUGACUACAUGUUGCAGGGUUUGACUUAGAUCCAUCCUCUUUCCGAGUCACCAAGUCCACCUGUCCUCAACGAUCAAGGGGUUGAUGCCGCCCCCAGCGACUCAGACACCCCACGGUCAACAUGGCCCAGUCACCGCUGCAUCCACGGACCUUCGCUGCACCCACGGGCAGGUCACUGCAACCACGGGCCUUCUGCACGCACCACGCUCUCGUUGUGACCACGGCCAUCCCGCUGCACCAUGCCCACCCGUUGCAACCACGGCCAUCCCGCAGGCCUCACAUCUCUUCUGGGCCCCAAGUUCCGCAUUGGCGUCCUCAGCCGUCUGGGGGAAGGUUCUUCCGCCUGGAAGCGGCUACUACCGGCUGUGCCAUGUAUGAGUACCGGAUGGUGGAUGUUGACUACAUUGAUCGAUUGUGGAGGCUGUCAUCUGAAGGGUUUUGGCUACAUGGAAAAUGAUUUGGGGCCACCCCGUUUGCCAAUCUUUCCUUUAGCUAAUCAUUUUGAGUGUCAACUUGCCUGUCAAAAGGAACCAGCUUGCCAGGUGUACUCGUAUCAUGAAACAAGUAUGUUCCAUGCCCCCGGAUACUGUUGGUUGAAGUCAAGUGGAAGUGGUCGAGUUGUUAAAGAUUGGCCUGGCAAGUGGUCCGGUCCAAAAUUCUGCCCCUAAGGUUGCACAAGUUCAUUCAAGCAAUGUCACUCUUGGAAGACUCCGACUGCAUACUGUUUGCAAGCAGGCGCAGCCAACCAAUUGUUGAAAUAUCGAUUUGAAGCAAACCGAUCUAACGUGUUGUUAUUUUGAUAUUUUGAAUGGAUGCAGAACAUGGAUGCUAUUUUUCAUUUCACCCAAACAACACGUGAAUAAAUCAUAACAUUCU
This is a long non-coding RNA of Tigriopus californicus, 4401 nucleotides long. RefSeq lists it as uncharacterized. The record is from RefSeq and is a predicted model, not a curated record. The transcript is spliced from 3 exons. Lineage: Eukaryota; Metazoa; Arthropoda; Copepoda; Harpacticoida; Harpacticidae.